RNAcentral lists this unclassified non-coding RNA (209 nucleotides) under Hevea brasiliensis (rubber tree). Lineage: Eukaryota; Viridiplantae; Streptophyta; Magnoliopsida; Malpighiales; Euphorbiaceae. The record is from RNAcentral.
UUGUUGUGGAUUUAGGUUUUUCAUUUUUUUAUCCAUAAGAAAACAGGAACCACGUUCCGUGCAAUCACUUGAUUUCUUUUACUAAACAAGAAACCCAAAAACAUAGCUUUGUCUUUUUGUUUCUCAUGUAUCCAUCCAACACCCAUAUUAAAACCUUCUCCUUUGCCCUCUGUUAUCAUCACCCACCAUCUCUCUCCACCUAUUGUUGG